UCUCCGUUGUUGAACCAGCUGAGGGAUCAUUACAGAGAUUUUAACUCCCAAACCCAUGUGAACUUACCAUUGUUGCCUCGGUGGAGCCUACCCUGUAGCUACCCUGUAGGGUGGUUACCCUGUAGCGCCCCGCCGGUGGAUUUUCAAACUCUUGUUAUUUUUAGUAAUCUGAGCGUCUUAUUUUAAAUAAGUCAAAACUUUCAACAACGGAUCUCUUGGUUCUGGCAUCGAUGAAAACGCAGC
RNAcentral lists this unclassified non-coding RNA (243 nucleotides) under uncultured fungus. Its description in RNAcentral is "sequence contains ITS1, 5.8S rRNA gene". The record is from RNAcentral. Lineage: Eukaryota; Fungi.